AGUGAACGCUGGCGGUAGACCUAACACAUGCAAGUCGAACGGCAGCACAGUAAGAGCUUGCUCUUACGGGUGGCGAGUGGCGGACGGGUGAGGAAUACAUCGGAAUCUACUUUUUCGUGGGGGAUAACGUAGGGAAACUUACGCUAAUACCGCAUACGACCUACGGGUGAAAGCAGGGGAUCUUCGGACCUUGCGCGAUUGAAUGAGCCGAUGUCGGAUUAGCUAGUUGGCGGGGUAAAGGCCCACCAAGGCAACGAUCCGUAGCUGGUCUGAGAGGAUGAUCAGCCACACUGGAACUGAGACACGGUCCAGACUCCUACGGGAGGCAGCAGUGGGGAAUAUUGGACAAUGGGCGCAAGCCUGAUCCAGCCAUACCGCGUGGGUGAAGAAGGCCUUCGGGUUGUAAAGCCCUUUUGUUGGGAAAGAAAAGCAGCAGGUUAAUACCCCGCUGUUCUGACGGUACCCAAAGAAUAAGCACCGGCUAACUUCGUG
RNAcentral lists this ribosomal RNA (492 nucleotides) under uncultured bacterium. RNAcentral's name for it is "partial 16S ribosomal RNA". It matches the Rfam family "Bacterial small subunit ribosomal RNA", at positions 29 to 507 of the family's 1533-position model. The record is from RNAcentral.